CGUGUAGGCGGCUUAUUAAGUCAGAUGUGAAAGCCCACGGCUUAACCGUGGAACUGCAUUUGAAACUGAUAGGCUUGAGUAUGAGAAGGGGUAGUGGAAUUCCCAGUGUAGCGGUGAAAUGCGUAGAUAUUGGGAAGAACACCAGUAGCGAAGGCGACUACCUGGCUCAUUACUGACGCUAAUGCGCGAAAGCGCGGGGAGCAAACA
This 207-nucleotide ribosomal RNA is filed under the name uncultured bacterium. RNAcentral's name for it is "partial 16S ribosomal RNA". It matches the Rfam family "Bacterial small subunit ribosomal RNA", at positions 568 to 774 of the family's 1533-position model. The record is from RNAcentral.